Molecule: RNA transcript, 2384 nt
Organism: Galeopterus variegatus (Sunda flying lemur)
Lineage: Eukaryota; Metazoa; Chordata; Mammalia; Dermoptera; Cynocephalidae
Gene: SS18L1
Gene name: synovial sarcoma translocation gene on chromosome 18-like 1
Exons: 10
Source: RefSeq, a predicted model, not a curated record
AUGCUAGACGAGAACCACCACCUGAUCCAAUGCAUCCUGGACUACCAGAGCAAAGGCAAGACGGCCGAGUGCACCCAGUACCAGCAGAUCCUGCACCGGAACCUGGUGUACCUGGCCACCAUAGCGGACUCCAACCAGAACAUGCAGUCCUUGCUCCCUGCUCCACCAACCCAGAACAUGAACCUGGGCCCCGGAGCACUGACUCAGAGCAGUUCUAGCCAGGGCCUGCACUCCCAGGGCAGCCUCAGUGAUGCCAUCAGCACGGGCCUGCCCCCGUCCUCCCUCAUGCAGGGCCAGAUCGGCAAUGGUCCAAACCAUGUGGCCAUGCAGCAGACAGCACAGAGCACUCUGCCCACCACCUCCAUGAGCAUGUCAGGCAGUGGCCAUGGCUCGGGGCCUGGCUACAGCCACUCAGGACCCACCUCGCAGAGUGUCCCUAUGCAGGGGCAAGGCACCAUUGGCAACUACGUGUCUCGGACCAACAUCAACAUGCAGUCCAACCCAGUGUCCAUGAUGCACCAGCAGGCGGCUACAUCCCACUAUAACUCGGCACAGGGUGGGAGCCAGCACUACCAGGGCCAGUCAUCCAUCGCCAUGAUGGGCCAGGGCGGCCAGGGGAACAGCAUGAUGGGACAGCGGCCCAUGGCACCCUACCGGCCCUCCCAGCAAGGCUCUUCCCAGCAGUACCUGGGCCAGGAGGAGUACUACAGUGAGCAGUACAGCCACAGCCAGGGCGCCUCGGAGCCCAUGAGCCAGCAGUACUACCCAGACGGGCAUGGCGAUUAUGCUUACCAGCAGUCAUCCUACACGGAGCAGAGCUACGACCGGUCAUUCGAAGAGUCCACGCAGCACUACUAUGAGGGGGGAAACUCCCAGUACAGCCAGCAGCAGGCCGGUUACCAGCAGGGCACGGCCCAGCAGCAGACGUACUCCCAGCAGCAGUACCCCAACCAGCAGAGCUACCCCGGGCAGCAGCAAGGCUAUGGGCCUGCCCAGGGAGCUCCCUCGCAGUACCCCAGCUACCAGCAAGGACAAGGCCAACAGUACGGGAGCUACAGAGCGUCACAGACGGGACCAUCUGCCCAGCAGCAGCGGCCUUAUGGCUAUGAGCAGGCAAGCUUUCUGGAUGUUUCCAGACGUGCCCGUCCACCGUGUCUGUCGAGACAUAAUGAAGAUUUCUCAUAUGGUCAUGAGGAAUAAUGAGAUGGAACUAAUUGGCUUCCAGGGUCCCUUCCAGAAUGUUAACUCUCUGAGCCUGGCCAGUAUGGAAAUUACCAGCAAUAAGAGACAAGCGUUCUUGUUGGAGCCCUUGUGGUAGCGUGUUCAUCCAGGGGAUGGAUGGGCCGGUGGCAGUUCUAAUGAACUGAGACUUGUUGGUUGCCCCUUCGCCCAGUGCCACGUCUGCAUGUGAAGCGUGCUCAUUUCAUGCUGGGUAACGCCGAGCGUGCACCUUGGCACAAGACAGCGCUUUGAUGGUGUGACAUAUUUGGUGCUGUGUAUAGUAUUGUAUGUUGAUACAAUGGAGAGGUUGUCCUUUAUUUGUCCCCUCAACCCGUUCUCAAUGUUUCUAGCUAGCUUUGGGGGUCAAUUUGUCAUCAGAGUAUCCUGUGCCCAGUGAUGGGACGUAUCUGAAAGACACCCUAGUUCACAUAUUCAUAGAAACAGACCUUAGGUCUAAUUUCUCUCCUCAUACAGUGGUCAUGAUGUGGCUUGUAAACUUUUCUUUAACUGGCUACACCACAGCUUGACACACACGCAGCCCCUGGAUGGCAGCCUCUUCCUGUGCCUCAGUGGGGUGGGUGAGAGGGUGUCUUCUGUGUUUCGGGUCAGAUUCUGACACACAAUAAAAAGGAUAAACACGCGUCAGUUGGAGAGGCUGGCAGCACUCCUUUCUGAGCUUGUUCAUACCUGUGUCUCUUGCCAAUUCUGUUUACCCAGAAAGGGUGUGUGUGUUUGUAUUAGAAAGUAAAGAGGGAUCAAUGACUAUAUUCCAAACAAAUAUGAGUCCACGAGGGCAACGUAUGAUUAGCCUAACCCAGGAGAGUGCUACUCCUGAAAAAAAGAGAGGGCAGACCUCUAGGAAUUUGGCUGUUAGAAAUUACUUUGGUUUUGGCUCUUGCUUUUCUGACAGUCAUUUCUAGGAUUUGAAUAUUCAAUAUGCCCAUUCUAAAUUUAUAAUUUAAAAUAUUGAUACCAGCUUUUCCAAACACUUGGCAAGUUGUUUAUUUUAUUUUAUUUCUUUUAGGGACUACUUGUUCAGAUCUGUAAGCAAGCAUGCCUUUUCUUUUAGGGGUGUCAGAAAUUCACAUCCUGUUUUUAAAAGGAAUCCUAGUAAUUUUACUGUGUUCUUUCUAAUGAAAAGUAAAGGUUUUGUAUAGAGAAAU